AUACUGGGAGUACUGGGACCCCCUGGGACCUUGAGGGGGGCAGUGGGGAGCCACUGGGUGUCACUGGGAGCAUGUGGGGGGAAUUGGGAGUCACUGGGAACGUGAGGGGUUGGUUACUGGGAGUUACUGGGAGCCCCUGAGACCUUCAGGGGGAGAAUGGGGUGAUACUGGGAGUACUGGGAGCCCCUGGGACCUUGAGGGGGGCAACGGGGAGCCACUGGGAGUCACUGGGAAUAUGAAGGGACGAUUACUGGGAGUCACUGGGAGCCCCUGAGACCUUCAAGGGGGAGAAUGGGGAGAUACUGGGAGUACUGGGAGCCCCUGGGACCUUGAGGGGGGCAACGGGGAGCCACUGGGAGUCACUGGGAAUAUGAAGGGACGAUUACUGGGAGUCACUGGGAGCCCCUGAGACCUUCAAGGGGGAGAACGGGGAGAUACUGGGAGCCACUGGGAGUGUGCUGGAGAACUGGGAGUCCCUGGGAACAUGAGGGGGCAGUUACUGGGUUGGGCGUAAGGGAGAGUAGACCCUGACUGGGGGUUACUGGGAGGUACUGGGGAUAGGGGAGUACUGGGAGCUACUGGGAGUUACCGGGGGUGGGAGCUUUACUGGGACCGUGGGGGGGGGAGCAGGCCUUCUGUGGGGGUUACUGGGAGGUACUGGAACUGGGGCUAGGGAGCUACUGGGAGUUACUGGGGCCGCGGGUGGGGUUACUGGGGCUUAACUGGGAGUCGUGUGUCCGUCCCCGCAAGGUGCCACCGAUGGCCGAGAGUCACCCGGAGCCGCCGGGCACUGGUCUGCGGGGCCUCGUCCCCCCAUGGCACUUCGUGCUCCGCCCCGCCGGCCCCAGCACCAGGCCCCUGGAGGCGGAGCUUGAGGCCGAGAGGAGGCGUGGCCACACCUUGGAGGCGGAGCUUGAGGCUGAGAAGGGGCGUGGCCAAGCCUUAGAGGCGGAGCUUGAGGCUGAGAAGGGGCGUGGCCAAGCCUUGGAGGCAGAGCUUGAGGCUGAGAAGGGGCGUGGCCAAGCCUUGGAGGCAGAGCUUGAGGCUGAGAAGGGGCGUGGCCAAGCCUUAGAGGCGGAGCUUGAGGCUGAGAGGAGGCGUGGCCAAGCCUUGGAGGCGGAGCUUGAGGCUGUGAGGGGGCGUGGCCAGGCUCAGGGGGCGGAGCCUGAUGGGGAGCAGCCCCUGGAGGAGUGCCAGGCCCAGGUGCUGCUCCAGGCCCGGCUCAGCGCCCUCGGCCACAUCCUGACCCUGCAGGAGCGAGAGCUGGGCCACGAGCUGCCCCCCGCCGAGGUCCCCGUGGCGGUGGCCCCCCCAAGGCUGCAGAGGCUCCUGGGGCGCUGGCGGGAGAAGGUCUUCGCCCUCCUGGUGCAGCUGCGGGUGCAGGAGGAGGCGCAGCGGGUGCUGCGGGCGCAGGUGGGGACGCUGGGGGCAGCGGUGGCAGCGGGGACACGCCGCGUGACGCGGCUGGAGCUGAGCCUGCGUGAGAGGGCGGCCACCGCCGAGCUGCAGCGUCGGGACACCGAGCGCCUGGCGCGGGAGGUGACGCGGCAGCGGGGCCGAGCAGAGGCGGCUGAGGAGGCACUGAGGGGACUGGCCCGGGCGGCUGCCAGGCUGGCCAGGGUGGUGACAGCACGCGAGGCCGAGGUGGCAGCGGCCACCAGCACCAUGGUCACCCUCAGCGCCCGCCUGCGCCGGGCAGGACAGCGGCUCCGCGUCCUCCGGGGGCUGGUGGCUCCGGUGGUGGCCUUGGACCGGCCGCAGUGGCAGCAGGACCCAGCGGGGGACGACCUGGUGGCCAAGGUGACAGGCAGCAGCCGUCUGCUUUCGGGGACAAUGGCCGGUGUCCGACGCAGCGCGGUGGCCUUGGGGGUGGCUGAUGAGGUGACGCGCAGCCCGGUGACAACGGACGAGGUGACGUGGGACAAGCGGCGCUGGGCUCCCUCGUGACGCAGCUGCAGGCCCUGGGCGCCGCCAUCCUCGGGGACGAUGGGGACAGCAGUGACAGCGGGGACCCCCCCUGACCCGCCUGCAGACCCAGGCAUCCGGCUCCGGCUCAGGUUAUGGCUAACACAGCUCGUGCCGCGGGGGACACAGAGGGGACGUGGGGGACACCAGCUCCGCGCCGGAGGAAGGAUGAGCGCUCGCGCCAUCGCCUGGGCAACUCGUUUUGCUCAUAAACGCCCAAAUUAACAAAGGAACGAGCUCUGAGUGAUGAAAUUUCACGAUUCGAGCGGUGAAUGAGCGAAUCCAGGAAGCGUUGCCCUCCUGGAUGACCGAGGGGAAAGCUGGCCUCGAACCUUCGUCCUUCGGGAAGUCUCCACAUAGAAAGGGGCAGCGAGUGUUCCUGGGAGGUGUCAUCACCGGAGAAGAUGUGGAGAACAUCUAGAAAAGGCAAGAACCUUCACGGGAUGGACAACCCUAACCCCGCCGUGGGGAGCACUGGCAUUCCCUAUGGAAAUCUUGAUGGAUAAUUAAGGAAACCCAAUUAGUCCAUCAUGUCCCAGCUGGUGACCUCUGCCGUGACGUGGACACGGAGACCCAACGUACCCGGAACCCACCAGGGGGGCAGCAGGAACCGAGGUGUCCCCCUGCCCACACGCACGCACCUUUGGUGUAGGUGGUAGUAGGGUGUAUCCAGGAAUGGGGACCAGUUUGGCACUGGUGGGACCCCCAUGUCACCCCGUAGGUGGCAGCAUCAUCCCAGUUUGGCACUGGUGGGACCCCAUGUCCCCAUGUUUCAGCCUGUAGGUGACAGUGCCAUCCCAGUUUGGCACUGGUGGGACCCCAUGUCCCCAUGUGUCACCCCGUAGGUGACAGUACCAUCCCAGUUUGGCACUGGUGGGACUCCAUGUCCCCAUGUGUCACCCCGUAGAUGACAGUGCCAUCCCAGUUUGGCACUGGUGGAACCCCCAUGUCACCCCAGAGGUGGUAGCAUCAUCCCAGUUUGGCACUGGUGGGACUCCAUGUCCCCAUGUGUCACCCCGUAGAUGACAGUGCCAUCCCAGUUUGGCACUGGUGGGACCCCCAUGUCACCCCAGAGGUGGUAGCAUCAUCCCAGUUUGGCACUGGUGGGACCCCAUGUCCCCAUGUUUCACCCCGUAGAUGACAGUGCCAUCCCAGUUUGGCACUGGUGGGACCCCCAUGUCACCCCGUAGGUGGCAGCAUCAUCCCAGUUUGGCACUGGUGGGACCCCAUGUCCCCAUGUUUCACCCCGUAGGUGACAGUGCCAUCCCAGUUUGGCACUGGUGGGACUCCAUGUCCCCAUGUUUCACCCCGUAGGUGGCAGCAUCAUCCCAGUUUGGCACUGGUGGGACCCCGUGUCCCCAUGUUUCACCCCGUAGAUGACAGUGCCAUCCCAGUUUGGCACUGGUGGGACCCCCAUGUCACCCCGUAGGUGGCAGCAUCAUCCCAGUUUGGCACUGGUGGGACCCCAUAUCCCCAUGUUUCACCCCGUAGGUGACAGUGCCAUCCCAGUUUGGCACUGGUGGGACCCCCGUGUCACCCCAUGGGUGCCAUCCCAGUUUGGCACUGGUGGGACCCCAUGUCCCCAUGUGUCACCCCGUAGAUGACAGUGCCAUCCCAGUUUGGCACUGGUGGGACCCCCAUGUCACCCCAUAGGUGGUAGCAUCAUCCCAGUUUGGCACUGGUGGGACCCCAUGUCCCCAUGUUUCACCCUGUAGGUGACAGUGCCAUCCCAGUUUGGCUGGUGGGACCCCAUGUCCCCAUGUGUCACCCCGUAGAUGACAGUGCCAUCCCAGUUUGGCACUGGUGGGACCCCCAUGUCACCCCAGAGGUGGUAGCACCAUCCCAGUUUGGCACUGGUGGGACCCCAUGUCCCCAUGUUUCACCCCGUAGGUGACAGUACCAUCCCAGUUUGGCACUGGUGGGACUCCGUGUCCCCAUGUUUCACCCUGUAGGUGACAGUACCAUCCCAGUUUGGCAGUGGUGGGACCCCAUGUCCCCAUGUUUCACCCCGUAGAUGACAGUGCCAUCCCAAUUUGGCACUGGUGGGACCCCCACGUCACCCCGUAGGUGGUAGCACCAUCCCAGUUUGGCACUGGUGGGACUCCGUGUCCCCAUGUUUCACCCCGUAGGUGGCAGCAUCAUCCCAGUUUGGCACUGGUGGGACCCCAUGUCCCCAUGUUUCAUCCCGUAGGUGACAGUGCCAUCCCAGUUUGGCACUGGUGGGACCCCGUGUCCCCACGUUUCACCCCGUAGGUGACAGUACCAUCCCAGUUUGGCACUGGUGGGACCCCAUGUCACCCCGUAGGUGGUAGCAUCAUCCCAGUUUGGCACUGGUGGGACUCCAUGUCCCCAUGUUUCACCCCGUAGGUGACAGUGCCAUCCCAGUUUGGCACUGGUGGGACCCCCGUGUCACCCCAUGGGUGCCAUCCCCGUUUGGCUCAGUCCAGGAGUGGUAGGACCCCAUGUCACCUCCACGGGCACUAGUGGGACCCCGUGUCCCUCUGUGUCACCUCGUCGGUGCCAGCACAAUCCCAGCGUGGCACUGGUGGGACCCCCACCUCCCGCUGUGUCACCCCGUACACAGGUGACAAUCCCAUCCCAGUACGGCCCAGUCCAGCACUGGUGGGCCCCACCACGUCACCCCGUGUCACCUCCUGGGUGGCAGCACCAUCCCAGUUUGUCACAGUCGCUUACUGGUUCGUUCCAUCCCGGUGACCCAACGCUUUAUUUUAUUUCUUUUUUUUUUUUCCGCUUUUUGCCCCUUUUUCACACCAUUUCAGCCCAUUAAAGCUCGUGGGGUGACAUCGCUGGUGGCAUCGCCGCGUCCUGUCGGGGGUGGCACUUGUGGACACGAGUGUCCCCACGGUAUGGGGUGGUUGGGGACGCAGAGGGGGAUGGCACCCCCGGGAAGGACAAGAGGAUCCUGGGGGGGGGGACACCGCGACCCCCAUGGGGACAGGGGUGUCCCCGGGAAGGGGGAGGCACAUUGGGACCCCCAUUAGGACAGGGGUGUC
This is an RNA transcript of Chroicocephalus ridibundus (black-headed gull), 4979 nucleotides long. It is a transcript of the gene named coiled-coil alpha-helical rod protein 1, with no coding region annotated. The record is from RefSeq and is a predicted model, not a curated record. NCBI's taxonomy places the organism in Eukaryota, Metazoa, Chordata, Aves, Charadriiformes, Laridae. The transcript has 14 exons.